AUGGCUCAAAAGAAACUUGACGUCUUGCUGUUCGAAUAAUAGAUGUUUGGAGUGUUGUGAAUAAUAAGGGUAUUGAACAUUUGGAGAUGAUUGUUAUGGAUUCCUUAGUAAAUUGCUUUUCUUUUUUUAAGUAUAGAUUUUUGUAUGAUAGUUAGUAAUUACAACAAAAUGCUUUUUUGUAUAACAUAUAAAAAGAAGAUUAUUUUCAUUUUGUUAGGGUGAUCGGAUUCAGGUCCUUAUUCGUCAUGACCA
RNAcentral lists this long non-coding RNA (252 nucleotides) under Lathyrus oleraceus (garden pea). Its description in RNAcentral is "Pisum sativum (pea) long non-coding RNA (PSAT_LNC012874)". Lineage: Eukaryota; Viridiplantae; Streptophyta; Magnoliopsida; Fabales; Fabaceae. The record is from RNAcentral.